RNAcentral lists this ribosomal RNA (420 nucleotides) under uncultured bacterium. RNAcentral describes it as "bacterial SSU rRNA". It matches the Rfam family "Bacterial small subunit ribosomal RNA", at positions 381 to 793 of the family's 1533-position model. The record is from RNAcentral.
CCCUGAUGCAGCCAUGCCGCGUGUGUGAAGAAGGCCUUCGGGUUGUAAAGCACUUUCAGUAGGGAGGAAGGUAGUGUAGUUAACACCUGCAUUAUUUGACGUUACCUACAGAAGAAGCACCGGCUAACUCCGUGCCAGCAGCCGCGGUAAUACGGAGGGUGCGAGCGUUAAUCGGAAUUACUGGGCGUAAAGCGCAUGCAGGCGGCCUGUUAAGUCAGAUGUGAAAGCCCCGGGGCUUAACCUCGGAAUUGCAUUUGAAACUGGCAGGCUAGAGUCUUGUAGAGGGGGUAGAAUUUCAGGUGUAGCGGUGAAAUGCGUAGAGAUCUGAAGGAAUACCAGUGGCGAAGGCGGCCCCCUGGACAAAGACUGACGCUCAGAUGCGAAAGCGUGGGGAGCAAACAGGAUUAGAUACCCUGGGAG